GCAGCAGAGUGCUAUGUGGGUGAGGAUACCCCAUGCGUGUAUGUGAGACAUAUAUAUCUCACAUCGCAAUCUGCAUAGUCACACGAUAUCAUGUGGCUCUGUGGAGAUAUAUAAUCUCGAGAACGCGAAGAUAGCGUCUUAUAGUGUAGAGUCUUCAAAGUAUUUCAUACUGAGAGGUAUAAGAUAUAUUGUUCUUAUCCGUCAUAGUAUAGUAUCGCGCUAGCUUAGGGUUGUGGGAGAGGUCAGCUCUCCACAAGAAUAUAAUCUAUAGGCCCCGAGAGAGGGGGACCCCCAAGAUGUGUAGUGAGACAGCGACUCACGCCUUGCGAGGCGCAACAUGUAGGAAAUCUCCGCAACACGACAAAGUGUGACGGGGACACCCAAAGUUCUAUUAUAAUACUGUCCCAUGAGAGUAAUGUCCCUUUCGAGAAGGGAGAGGCCAGUGUUGGCCCCCUCCGCCGGUAAAAACCCAUCUCUUAAAGUUGUGGGGAUAUUUUUUGCGCUAAAAGUCUCUGUACCCUUUUUAGUAAGUUCCUUGAAAAAUCAUUUAGCCUAACUAUGCAUAUUAGGGGAAUGACCCUAUUCUAGGGGGCGGGAGAUGUGUGAGGUAACACAGGGGUAGGGGAAAAAUUUUAUUCUCCGUGUACGCCCCCCAGGCGAGAGCGUGUCAGACGGCAGCGCCCUCCGCGGUGAGGGACGAAACACGGGGGAGAGACCCGUAUUAGAUACCCGGGGUCUCGUCACUAUAAAAGACGCAUUUUAGGUGCUGGUUCUCCCGAGAGCCGUCUCAGUCCUGGAGGGAAACCGUUAAGUGCCCCGCCAGAGAAGUACGGUCGCAAGGCAAAAACAAAAAAAUAGGGGCGGGGGAUCCC
This 872-nucleotide ribosomal RNA is filed under the name uncultured archaeon. RNAcentral's name for it is "partial 16S ribosomal RNA". It matches the Rfam family "Archaeal small subunit ribosomal RNA", at positions 19 to 879 of the family's 1478-position model. The record is from RNAcentral.